Long non-coding RNA from Dermacentor silvarum, 2522 nucleotides. RefSeq lists it as uncharacterized. Lineage: Eukaryota; Metazoa; Arthropoda; Arachnida; Ixodida; Ixodidae. The transcript has 3 exons. The record is from RefSeq and is a predicted model, not a curated record.
AAAGAAAGUUUACAACAAGUUGGUAGGCUCUGUUUUUACUUCGGUUGAAAGAAAGUUUCUUUAAAGAAAGUUUUAAAAAAGUUGGUAGGCUGUGUUUUAACUUUUGUUUGUACGAAGUUUGUUCAAAGAAAGUUUAAAAAAAGUUAGUAGGCUCUGUUUUUAUUUUCGUUUGAAGAAAGCUUGUUUAAAGCAACAUUAAAGAAAGUUGAUAGGCUCCGUUCUUGUUUUCACUUGAAGCAAGUUCGUUUGAAGAAAGUUUAAAGGAAGUUUAAGGAAAGUUGGUAGGCUCUGUCUUUACUUUUGUGUAAAGAAAAUUAUAACAACUGUAUUUGUUUCAUUCAUUUGCUCAUUUAACACCGCAAUAAAGAAGCAUAACAUGCAAUAUCGGUAAUACAAUAAUUAGUACGAAUAAACUAAGUGUCAUACUGACAAUUGCUUCCUGCAGUUUAAGAGAAAGCGAGGAGACAGAAUAAUUUUUGUUAUUAUGCGUGCAUAUAUAAUUAGCAGAAGCUAAGGUAAAAUAUCUUAGCCUGUCCCAGUGAAAUUGUAUAUAACGCUUUCCUACUUCAAAAAAAAAAGGUUGUUCUACACUGACUGGUACUCGAACCCGGGACUUCUGCGUGUGAGGCAGAGACGGUACCACUACUCCCAUAUUACAGUAGCACUAGCAGGAACUAUACAAUGCCUAGACUUUCUGACAUGUCGUAAGGCCAUUUAUUUGUUUUCACGACGCUUACCUUUUUUUCGGAAUUCGGCUUCUUAAGAAACCUUUCCUUUACGAUUUUAUGCAAACUAUACACAAAACUCUCGCAAAUGCAGUACCUGCGGUCACUGUUAAAAGAGCCUUUCUUUUCAAAACUGCGGGUGAUUGUUGUGUUGAUAUUGUCACGUAGUAGUGACGCUGAAGUCAACAGUCGUAAAACUGUGUAUGACGAAACUAAUUCUUUAUUGGGCGAACCUGUGCCCACAAAAGCAAGCUACACUCGAAGCACAACGAAAGCGGCGAACACAGUCGGCGGUCGUCGAAAUCUCAUCAGCGGCGAAACGCGUCGGCUUUUAUACCUGAGUCAUCGAAGGUUCCAGAUUAAUCCCUGAUGCCCGCGGGUCUUCCAGAAAGUUCUAGACAAUUCGCGUCGGUUAUACAAUCAGAUAACAUAAGCGUCGGUGAAAACAGGCAACGGAAAGAAGCAUCGAUAACGUUCUAGAAGCUUCCGAUGCAGGCGCGUCCUGCGCCGAGCGAUAACGUUUAACACUUGUUAGCCGGUGGAAAGCGGCCACCGGUGAAAGAUAAACAUGUAUACGUGUCAAUAUAUUGGCGGGAUUCGUACGGCAGCAAGGAUUCCGUAAAUGCUUGCUAAGGCACACAAGUGAAUAAUUUACGAUUGUCAGUUUACUGAGUAGUCAGUUGUGUACCUGGCAUGGCCGUAUCUGUUUGUUUACACGUGCGUGCAAGCAGUACGCCUGUUGCACUUCAGCCGAAGCUUCAGCUGCUGUAGCACGCCAGCCAUCGCCACGUUUUGUUACCUUUAUUCCUGACGCUAAGAGGAAAUAUGGUCUCACCAAUUCAAGAUGAGGGCACAUAUUCUCGAAAACAUUACACUUGGCGCCAUAAUUAACGUGUAUGUGGGCGGUGAUCACGGAUAUGUGCUCGGUAAGUGUCACAUUAGCCCGUAGACCGUCCGUCAUUUCAAGCAGACGGAGCCGCACGGGCGGCGCGUGGAUUGGCUCAUGCUUCAGCUACGACUUCCCUUGAGUGACAAAUGCGAAUCUCGAAGGCUAUGCUCCUGAAGCGAUGCGAAUCGGGGAGGCAGGUUCCUUUUCGUUAACCGCAGUGUGGCGCUGCUGCAGUGUUUUGUUCAAUAAAUCCAAUCCAAUCCAAGUUGCUGUAGUUUAUGGACCACGUUGGCUGUGCGCGAGUGCUUGUUGCAGUGAGGCGGUAGUUGAAUUUUAUAUUAGAAGUGCCUAGGCAAAAUGUGCUUCUUAUCGUGUGCAUUAACCAUCGCACAACCUCUGGACUCGUGAAACACCGUGUGUUCGCCGUGUGUUUCGAGCGAUACGCCAGUGUCAACAGUGUCUUACAGCGCCCGUCCGAGCUGCUUUUGUUCCCGCCUGCCUGCGCUCUCUCGUGAAAAGCCUGGUACUGGGGCUUCAUCACAGUGUAUGGAAGAAUUUGUUGUAGGUUGUGCGUUCGUGGUGCUGUAGUUCAUCGGCAGCUCUACAGUGUUUGCGCCCGAAAGAGAGUUGGUGCCACGGUACCUGUGGGACGAAGGAGUGUUUGCUGACUACGUCUUGAAAGUUGAAGGCUAUGCGGAUUCUGGAGGCAUCCCACAGGAACCUGCAGCACUGCUGCAAGCUGGAGAGCACCACUAUAAAGCACCUGAUCUGCGUGCUUUUACAAAGGCUUGCAGCAAGAGGGAUAUCAAGAACACGGGAGAUGUCAAGACCACAUUAUAGUCACUGCUUGCUUGUGGUUUCUGAGGGCAUGUAUGAAAGGGUUGGAAAAUAAACAUCAGUGUUUGAAA